Prunus avium (sweet cherry) is the source of this 1456-nucleotide long non-coding RNA. RefSeq lists it as uncharacterized. The record is from RefSeq and is a predicted model, not a curated record. Lineage: Eukaryota; Viridiplantae; Streptophyta; Magnoliopsida; Rosales; Rosaceae.
UUUUGCCCUUUACUGAAUUUUCCCUUAUGUUCCCUUUUUGCCCCUUCCCAUUUGCAUCUCUUUCAAUUCGAAAGUUUCGUUCGCUCUCAGCUUUCCAGUCCGUUUCAAACCAGUUGGUUGGGCUGGUUAGGGGCAGCCAUGGAAGAUCAAAGCUCACUGUUCUGCAUGCGUGGGGGCCGUCGAUUUUCGUUUGGGGAGGGGCGCUGCAAAUCCAGCCGCCCUUUUGGUCUUUAUCUCAUCGGUUCUCCUCUCAGAUCUUGCGUUCGUGUUUUGCCGUUCCAGAUGCGCUUCAUCAUUCUUCUCAUCGCACGGGUUUUAGCUCAAAGGAUUUCUGGGUUUCGUUAAAAAAGAGUGGAAGAUCUAAGGAAAAAGAACUGGAGUAAUCAAUAUGAGAACCCCCAGUCUGCUCAUCAAUCUGGUAAUUGAUGUCUGUGUGGCUGAUAUUCUGUUUGCGUGUGGUUAUAGACUCCUGCAUUUUUUUUUUUAUGACUCCAGAUCAGAAUUAUAAUUCUAAUAGAUGUUAUAGAUUUUCUGUUUGCGUAUGGUUAUAGAUUUUCUGUGUGGCUGAUUUUUUUUCUGUUCGUACUUAUCUUGCGUUCCCUUUUUAUGACUCCAGUUAAAUUGGACAUUUCAAGAACUAUUUUCUUCACAUAAUUAUGUUUAUCACAUGUCACACCCUCCCAUUGGUCUCUGCAAUGGUCUGAACUCAUGUUCCAACCCCAUUUUGAUAUCUCUCACUGAAUUUCCUGGUGAAAGUUUGUCCAUGAAUUGCACCGGUACUUGCGUGAGUUGCUUCAAGUCUUGAUCUUCUGAAUUAGCCAUUGGAAAGAUGAGAAAGAUCAAAAUGGCCAGUACCCAAGUGGGAAAACGAUUCAUUUUUUGUUAUUUUUAUGUACAAGUAGAGUAUUUUGUGGAAAAUGGUUCUGUGGUUUUGGUUUCCGCUUUAUGAAGUGGGCUUCAUUGAUGGAAGUUGCAAAACAAGAAGAAAGUAAGUUUGUUGCUGGAAUAUGACUUGGUGCCAAUUGGCUGAUACAGAUAGAGAGUUUGAAGUAUUCUUUAUGGUUAAGGUUAUGUACCAUGAGGAGCUUGCAGAAUGAGCCUUACACCGCGCUAUAGCCAAUAACAAUUCUGAAAAAAUAAGUGGAGCCAUUGGAAAUUUGCGUGUGGUUAUAGAUUUUCCGUGUGGCUGUUUUUUUUUAAUUUUUUUUUUUCUGUUCGUACUUAUCUUGCGUUCCCUUUUUGGAGAGCAAGUAAGACUUUGUGCCUAUUAGUUGUUAAAUUUUCUGCUUUUAGUGAAUUUGAGGGGUAUAAAUGGAAGUGGAGGGAAUUGGGUUUGGUUGUGUGAGUGAAAUUAUGCAUCUUUUUGUGUUAUUUCAGUCCAAGUUUGUACCUUUGUAUAUAUGAGUGUGUUGUUCUAUUUUGAUAUAUGAGUGUAAAAUCUUACUUUACCGCCUAA